This 257-nucleotide ribosomal RNA is filed under the name uncultured bacterium. RNAcentral's name for it is "partial 16S ribosomal RNA". It matches the Rfam family "Bacterial small subunit ribosomal RNA", at positions 524 to 776 of the family's 1533-position model. The record is from RNAcentral.
UACGUAGGGUGCAAGCGUUAAUCGGAAAUUACUGGGCGUAAAGCCGUGCGCAGGCGGUUUUGUAAGUCAGAUGUGAAAUCCCCCGGGCUUAACCUGGGAACUGCGUUUGAAACUACAAGGCUAGAGUGUGGCAGAGGGGGGUGGAAUUCCACGUGUAGCAGUGAAAUGCGUAGAGAUGUGGAGGAACACCGAUGGCGAAGGCAGCCCCCUGGGCCUGCACUGACGCUCAUGCACGAAAGGCGUGGGGAGCAAACAGG